Molecule: long non-coding RNA, 3408 nt
Organism: Haemorhous mexicanus (house finch)
Lineage: Eukaryota; Metazoa; Chordata; Aves; Passeriformes; Fringillidae
Exons: 3
Source: RefSeq, a predicted model, not a curated record
UCCGGUUAGAUUAUUCACCAGUAAAUAUUUUUAAAAUUAUGACAUUUUGCCAUCUACCCUAACUAGCUUUCUUAUUUUUCAUUUUCACCAUGUGGCUGGAGAAUUUUGCAGUUCUGACAAAGAUGCUCCACCCAGCCUUUCUGCAUUGAUUCACUGGCCCUUUGCUUGGGAAAGAAUUAUUUCAAAUUGACACAGCAGUCCUGAAUAAUCACUGAUGCUGAAUAUCCUGGUGAUCAAUAUCCCCUUCACCCAACCACAUUAUCUAACCAGAUACUUACACAGCAAGAGGCAGCACUUGAAGACCCACCUGCUCUGAAAUUUCCUCCUUCCUCCUGAGAGAAAGCUCCAGGAAUGAGCCUUUGGGAUGGAUCUUGUCCCUGCACCGACACCAGGGUCAGCUCUGGGGACAACUGCUGUGACAGAGCUACUGAGCUGCAGGGCCAUGGGAGCUGGGGCUGGUGGCAGGAAGGUGGCAUAGCAAGGGAUGCUCCAGCCUCACAGAAUUCACAGAAUGACCACGUUGGAAGAGACCUUCAAGAUCAUCGAGUCCAAGCCAGCCCCAAAAGUUCAACUAAACCCUGGCACCACAUCCAAUCUUUUUUUUUAAACACACCCAGGGAUGGGGACUCCACCACUCCCUGGGCAGCCAUGCCAGAACUUUCUCCCCCUUGCUGGAAAAACCUUUUCCCUGCUCUCCAACCUGUAUUUCCCUUGGUGCAGCUUGAGGCUGUGUGCUCUGGUUGUGUCAGUGCUGCUGGAGACAGAGCCCAGCCCCAGCUGGCUACAACCCUUUCCUACCUCGUGUUCCCACUGCUUGCAUUCUGCAGGAGCACUGGCUGAAUAUUCUAGUCAUACAGGUAGGGCUUGAAAGGACAGAGGAUUGGAGUUUUUUUGACAAUGUGGAGCAGCUUUCCACGUGGAAGCCCAGCAGCUCAGCUCUGCGCUGGUCACUGGUGGGGCUGCCAGCCUGUCCCCUGCCCCUGGGAGUGCCUGAACUCUGAAGGUGAUGCAGGACAUGGAGCCAUGGGGACUCACUGAGAGCUGGACAUGACCCCACUGGCUUUGCUGCAAACACAGCAUUUUGGGGGCCCUGCCAUGGGUACCAUUCCUGCAGCCACCUCUGGGUGCAGCACAAAGCUGUCAGCACACUCAGUGUCCCUCUCUCUGCUGUUUUAUCUCAUUUAACAGGAAUUAUGCAUCACACUUCAGACAAUUUGUGGCCAUCGUGUUACCCAGAGCUGCUCUGUGCAGUGUGCAAAGAUUUGGGGUGCAGGAUUUCCCCCCCAGCCCUCCUGUUCCCAUCCUGCCAGGCAUUUUCUGGCUCCAGGAACAUCCUUGCUGUAGUCUGUAAGGGCCACACUCCUCUGGACCAGGAGUUUCUAACCACAGCUCCACUGGGCAAGCCUGGUGCCACCAGCACCUCGUAAGGAUGAAACUGCUGCUGGCUGCAGUUUGUUUUGGGGAUCAACUGCUUUGGGGCUGUCUCCUGCUGGAUUUAUGUUCUCUGAAGAGUUAAGUACAUUAGUGUGGGUAAUCUCACUCCAUUACCUUCUAUAAAACUGAAUCUAUGAUUUCCUCCCUGGUGAGCAUUUACCAUAGUGAAAUAGGCUACUAUUUUCAUAUUUAACUCAUUGGUAACUCAUAAAACCAGCUCAAGUUGUCUGCCCCAAGGAGCAGAAGCUGUGGGACGGGCUGGAGGGUCAGAGCUUCUACAAGACCUGCAGUGUCAGGGCAGUGCUCUCAGCAUGGCCCUCACAUCCCUCUCCCAUCCCUCCCCCUGCCCCUUUGAAAUCCACAAAAAUCAGAAAUUUAUAAGGCUUCUUAAAAAUCCGAGAUGAAGCAAUUAAACCUCCAGACUGGAGGAUGUGAACCUUUAAAGGCCCUUUGCAGAAUAUCAAAAGAAUGAGAGGAUUAUAUUUAGCAGGUGUGACAGCCCACGCAGGACAUUUCAUUGUGAAAGGGGCUGACAUGAACCAGGAACCGAUACUUAAAUUAAUAUAAAACAUCUUGGGGGAAAGGUGUUUUCUUUUCUUUUUUAGGCAUUGGGAAAUCAUAAUGCUUUCUGGCUUCUUCAAAAGCGAGAGGUCCAAAUAUACAGGAGUCAUCUGGCAUGUAAAAAUAAAAAAGUCUGGGGAGGGGACACACACAUAAAAAUACUUUGGAUGAGGUUGGGAGGCAAAUGUUGAGGGCCAGGGGGCCAAGAAACACCGUUGUGAAUUUUCCUGCCCUGCCUCACCUGAAGAUUGCAAAUCCAAGGAUUUUCCCUCCCAGGGCAGAGGGGCAGGACUGGGACAGGGUGCCCUGUCUGGCUCCUGGCACUGCAUCAGCAUCCCCUGUCCUGCCAUCUCUCUUCAUCCCUUCCCUGGAGACACAACCCUUCAUUACAGGAGUGCUUUAUUCUGAACACUCCUCUUUCUAUUCCUAUCACACCCUCCCAAGCCUUGGAGUGGAAAACUUGACUCGGGAGUUUUUGUGGGGAGGCGUCCACGACUUUCGUGCUUCAUUCACUACUGAGUGCUCCUAAUUUUAGCCCAGCUGCUCCGUUUUGAUUUUUCCAAAGCUGCGGAUCUAACGUCCAGCAGCUCGGGUUGUUUUCACGCCCACUCACUGAGGGCCACACGAGUGAUGCUGCCCAUCGAGGGGAAGGUGGGGAGGGUGACAACACUGUCCCCAACACUGUCCCCAACACUGAAAAGUGACUCCAGAUCUCCAUAGGUGGGUGCUGCAGUAGCAGAGGGCACUCAGCGCCACUUUUGGAGUAUUUCAUCUCUUCACUCUGCUCAUUCAAGCACUAGGUGGUCACCUGGGAUCUCUGGGUUCUUAGUCACCCAAAAAACACACUUUGGGGUGGAAAGCUUAUCUUUCUGCUGGGGCUGCCCCAAGGGAGGGAGGCAUGUGGUUGCCUGGAUGUGUGCUAUCAGGUACUCUUUGGCACCGAGAGAGUUAAAGGUCCUCAGCACCCACCAGCCCUGGUCUAGGCAGUGUCUAAAAUCAGUCCUAGACCCGCUUUAUUUUUUCCUUAAAAACAGGAAAUGGAGCCCUGAAGGCUUUUUAACUGGAGAGGGAGAGUGAGGAGGGGGUAUACUCGCUCUGCCCAUACCCAGCCCUGAGCCUGACCCAGACUUGGGGGUCUCUGUGUGUGUUUUUUUUAUUCCUUCUCCCUUUUUUUCUCCCCCCCUCCUCCCCUAUUAUUUUGGCAGACUUUUUGGAAUGUCUGGGAGCUAAGGGCUUUGCUUCAUGGAGCAGAAUUCUGAAGCAAGAAAAAGAGAAAGUUAUAGACUAAACCACAGAAAUGUAAACAUGUCUGCAGCUAAAAUAACUCCACUUUCAUUGAAAACACUCCUCGCUUACAAUCAGACUUCUGUGUGCUAUGCUCAAUAAAACUGCAUGCUAAUAGCAACCAAUUAA